RNAcentral lists this ribosomal RNA (303 nucleotides) under uncultured bacterium. RNAcentral describes it as "partial 16S ribosomal RNA". It matches the Rfam family "Bacterial small subunit ribosomal RNA", at positions 510 to 808 of the family's 1533-position model. The record is from RNAcentral.
AGCAGCGCCGCGGGAAUACGAAGGGGGCUAGCGUUGUUCGGAAUUACUGGGCGUAAAGCGCGUGUAGGCGGGCUUUUAAGUCAGGGGUGAAAUGCCAAGGCUCAACCUUGGAACUGCCCUUGAUACUGGAAGUCUUGAGUCCGGGAGAGGUGAGUGGAACUGCGAGUGUAGAGGUGAAAUUCGUAGAUAUUCGCAAGAACACCAGUGGCGAAGGCGGCUCACUGGCCCGGAACUGACGCUGAGACGCGAAAGCGUGGGGAGCAAACAGGAUUAGAUACCCGAGUAGUCCCUGUCUCUUAUACA